UUUCAUACAAUAGUCUGUUGAUUUUGGUUUGCACUAGGAUGCAAAAGAAAGAAAUCCUGCGCUUUCUGUGUGUCUUUAUGGCGGCCCACAUUGAAUUGGGGAGUACACUU
RNAcentral lists this small nucleolar RNA (110 nucleotides) under Carlito syrichta (Philippine tarsier). RNAcentral describes it as "Small nucleolar RNA SNORA31 (ENSTSYG00000024113.2)". It matches the Rfam family "Small nucleolar RNA SNORA31", at positions 20 to 130 of the family's 130-position model. From Rfam's summary of the family: ACA31 (SNORA31) belongs to the H/ACA class of snoRNAs which are thought to guide the sites of modification of uridines to pseudouridines. The record is from RNAcentral. Lineage: Eukaryota; Metazoa; Chordata; Mammalia; Primates; Tarsiidae.